AAUCAACGCUGGCGGCGCGCUUAACACAUGCAAGUCGAGCGAGAAAGGGAGCAAUCCCUGAGUACAGCGGCGUACGGGUGAGUAACACGUGGAUGAUCUACCUUUUAGUGGGGAAUAACCCUGGGAAACCGGGGCUAAUACCGCAUAAGCCUGAGAAGGGAAAGCGCCUAUUUAAAAGAUGGGCGCGCUGAAAGAGGAGUCCGCGGCCGAUUAGCUAGUUGGUGAGGUAAAGGCUCACCAAGGCGGUGAUCGGUAGCCGGCCUGAGAGGGCACACGGCCACACUGGCACUGAAACACGGGCCAGACUCCUACGGGAGGCAGCAGUGGGGAAUCUUGCACAAUGGAGGCAACUCUGAUGCAGCGACGCCGCGUGAGCGAUGAA
Molecule: ribosomal RNA, 382 nt
Filed under: uncultured bacterium
Lineage: Bacteria
Description: bacterial SSU rRNA
Rfam family: Bacterial small subunit ribosomal RNA
Source: RNAcentral